This 228-nucleotide ribosomal RNA is filed under the name uncultured bacterium. RNAcentral's name for it is "partial 16S ribosomal RNA". It matches the Rfam family "Bacterial small subunit ribosomal RNA", at positions 88 to 334 of the family's 1533-position model. The record is from RNAcentral.
UAACUUAGUGGCGGACGGGUGAGUAACGCGUGAGAAUCUGCCUUCAGGACGGAGACAACAGUUGGAAACGACUGCUAAGCCCCGAUGAACCGAAAGGGAAAAUAUUUAUAGCCUGAAGAUGGGCUCGCGUCCGAUUAGCUAGUUGGCGGAGUAAAAGCCCACCAAGGCGACGAUCGGUAGCUGGUCUGAGAGGACGAUCAGCCACACUGGGACUGAGACACGGCCCAG